GAUGAACGCUGGCGGCGUGCUUAACACAUGCAAGUCGAACGAACCUUCGGGUUAGUGGCGGACGGGUGAGUAACGCGUGGGAAUCUGCCCUCAGGAGGGGGAUAACGGCUGGAAACGGCCGCUAAUACCCCAUAUGCCGAGAGGUGAAAUGAAUUUCGCCUGAGGAUGAGCCCGCGUCUGAUUAGCUAGUUGGUGAGGUAAGAGCUCACCAAGGCAUCGAUCAGUAGCUGGUCUGAGAGGAUGAUCAGCCACACUGGGACUGAGACACGGCCCAGACUCCUACGGGAGGCAGCAGUGGGGAAUUUUCCGCAAUGGGCGAAAGCCUGACGGAGCAACGCCGCGUGAGGGAUGAAGGCCUCUGGGCUGUAAACCUCUUUUCUCAAGGAAGAAGAUCUGACGGUACUUGAGGAAUAAGCCACGGCUAAUUCCGUGCCAGCAGCCGCGGUAAUACGGGAGUGGCAAGCGUUAUCCGGAAUUAUUGGGCGUAAAGCGUCCGCAGGCGGCCCUUCAAGUCUGCUGUUAAAACGUGGAGCUUAACUCCAUCAUGGCAGUGGAAACUGUUGGGCUUGAGUGUGGUAGGGGCAGAGGGAAUUCCCGGUGUAGCGGUGAAAUGCGUAGAUAUCGGGAAGAACACCAGUGGCGAAGGCGCUCUGCUGGGCCAUAACUGACGCUCAUGGACGAAAGCCAGGGGAGCGAAAGGGAUUAGAUACCCCUGUAGUCCUGGCCGUAAACGAUGAACACUAGGUGUCGGGGGAAUCGACCCCCUCGGUGUCGUAGCCAACGCGUUAAGUGUUCCGCCUGGGGAGUACGCACGCAAGUGUGAAACUCAAAGGAAUUGACGGGGGCCCGCACAAGCGGUGGAGUAUGUGGUUUAAUUCGAUGCAACGCGAAGAACCUUACCAGGGUUUGACAUCCUGCGAACCUCUUGGAAACGAGAGGGUGCCUUCGGGAACCCAGU
Molecule: ribosomal RNA, 958 nt
Filed under: uncultured bacterium
Lineage: Bacteria
Description: bacterial SSU rRNA
Rfam family: Bacterial small subunit ribosomal RNA
Source: RNAcentral